UACGUAGGGUGCGAGCGUUAAUCGGAUUUACUGGGCGUAAAGCGUGCGCAGGCGGUGCGGUAAGUCAGGGGUUAAAGGCUGCAGCUCAACUGCAGUAAGGCCUUUGAUACUAUCGCGCUAGAGUACCAGAGAGGAUAGUGGAAUUCCAAGUGUAGCGGUGAAAUGCGUAGAGAUUUGGAGGAACACCAGUGGCGAAGGCGACUGUCUGGUCUGUAACUGACACUGAGGCGCGAAAGCGUGGGGAGCAAACAGG
Molecule: ribosomal RNA, 253 nt
Filed under: uncultured microorganism
Description: partial 16S ribosomal RNA
Rfam family: Bacterial small subunit ribosomal RNA
Source: RNAcentral